RNAcentral lists this long non-coding RNA (3866 nucleotides) under Sus scrofa (pig). RNAcentral describes it as "lncRNA (ENSSSCG00025029976.1)". The record is from RNAcentral. Lineage: Eukaryota; Metazoa; Chordata; Mammalia; Artiodactyla; Suidae.
CCACAUCCACAGCAAUGUGGAAGUUCCCAGGCUAGGAGUCAAACCUGACCUGCAGCUACCGGCCUGUACCACAGCCACAGCAGUGCAGAUCCGAGCCAUGUCCGCUACCUACACCACAGCUCAGGGCAAUGCCGGAUCCUUUAACCCACUGAGCGAGGCCAGGGAUCAAACCCAAAUCCUCAUAGAUACUAGUCAGGUUUGUUACCACUAAGCCACAAUGGGAACUCCAGAAUUAAGCAAGAAUUUUCCACUUUAAAACUGAGGAGUGUUGAUCGAAUUUUAAAAGUCCCUCGGCUUUGCUCAAUAAGGCCAAGAUUUUUUAAUGGUUUCUCCUUAUUCUUCAAAGAGGAAAAAUAGUGAUCACUUGAACAACAAAUGCGCUUAGCCCUAGUGAAAGCAAACAGAAAACUAGUGUCUAAAGUUAGAUGUUUCUGCCAUGUCCCUUAGCUACUCAGUGACACUGAGUGCAACAAAUCUGGGCAAGUGACUGGAUCACUCUAUGUCCCUCCUUAAGUGAAAAUCUGAUGGUGUCACUUUUCUGCUUAUGUUCUUUCAGUUUCCACACAUAAGGUGAAUUACUCAUGCAGGGAAGGCAAUAUUAUAGUGAAUUAUGCCUACUCUUCCCCCUUGGAGCCCAGAGCAUCACCCAACCACAAUCUCCCAGGCACUCUAGUCCACUGAGCCUGCAUGAGUCCUGAAGUCCUUCUCAGACCACUCUAGGCAACCACUUCUAAUAAGUCAGAGAAGGCCCAUGAAAUAAAAACUAUGCACCUCCUGAACAUACAGCCAAUCAGAUGAAUGCUCUCCCCAAAGAAGGAUCUGGACUGCAGUGGCCUCACAGACAAAGCAGGGUCAGAGAAGAAAGAUGUUGACAGUGCCAGUUCAAGCCAGGGAAAUGAGGCACAGGCCCCAGGUCACCUGCAAUUCUACCUGCUGGCCACAUAAUCCUUUUUAUGCAGAGGGAGUCUUGGGAUACUAGGUUGAUGCCGCCGACGAUUAAAUUAUACCAUGUUCUUCCUUUUCCCCUGGUCUCAUGCUUAUGUAAAAACCUUCUGUUAAUAUCUGGUUCCCGAACAAUGUCAUUGGCUUAUAAAGCUAGUAUCCCACACUCAUGCUGGCACUACUAUUCAAACACAGUGACAGAACCUGGAAUCCUGUCUUACACAUCACUUUCUGUGAGGUCAGUCCACAUGAACUCACCCCAAGUGACUUCCCUAUUCUUGAUGUGCUGACGAACCUACAAAGUAAAGGAUUCAAUACGGAACCACGACGAAUUCCGCAAGAUCCAUGACAUCUUACAAGGAAUCUUUACAACCAAACAGCCUGAGUUUACUGUUAAGGCUACUUCUUCCUCACCAGACCUUCAACAUGUAACACAUGCAAGACAGAUCCCUUGUGAUCUGAGCCCCGUCCUUUUUUUUUCCCUAACUUUAUCUCCAGUGUGGUCCUACAGUUAGUAUCAACAGUGAACGUGCCACCCAUGGCAGAGUUGGUGGUAGAGCAGAAGAUGCCUCAAAUCUUAAGUUAUGAAGCAAAAUCUAAAAUAGGAGAAUGAGAAAUAACAUUGGAAGUGGGAGCAUCAAAAGACUAUAAAAUUGACCUGGAGUGUCAUAUGUUAUGGGAAGUGUGAUUAGAUCUAAAAGGGCUAUCAAUGAAGAGACUUUCAUGAGUUCUGCCUCACUAUGGUGCUUGGUGCAUUGGCAAGAAGAUGGUAGCUGAAAGCAGUUGUGGGAUUCUUGGGCCCCUCUAUUCAAACUGUCUUGUGCGCCAACCCUGAGGUCCAGCUCUCCUGAAUUUCUUGCUUUUCUAGAACUGGCAUGUUCCACACAUUUCCGUGCCUUUGCACAUGUUUUUCCUUUUGCUGAAACACCCAUUAUUCUUUAUUCAAGCCUUCCCGCCUCUGUUCCUACCACAUUAUGGAAUUGGAAUUUAAGCUGUCUCUGUACAUUAGAUACUAGUCUUUCUUUUUUUUUUUUUUUUUUUUUUUUUUUUUUGUCUUUUUGCUAUUUCUUUGGGCCACUCCCAUGGCAUAUGGAGGUUCCCAGGCUAGGGGUCUAAUUGGAGCUGUAGCCACUGGCCUACGCCAUAGCCAGAGCAACGCGGGAUCCGAGCCGCAUCUGCAACCUACACCACAGCUCACGGCAACGCCGGAUCGUUAACACACUGAGCAAGGGCAGGGACUGAACCCGCAACCUCAUGGUUCCCAGUCGGAUUCGUUAACCACUGCGCCACGACGGGAACUCCCUACAUUUCCUUUUUGAUUGUAAGUUCCUUAAAAGCAGGGCCCUGUUUAAGUCAUCUAAAUUCCACUGAAGUGCCAUCACAGUACUUUAUAUGUAGUAAGGAGAUAUGUAAUUUAAUCACUGAAUGACUCAUUAAAAUACAUGAAAUAGAAAUCCUGACACUAUUACCAUGAUUGAAGAUAUGCUCACAUAUACUCAUUUAUUCACUUACUGAAAAAUGCAGAUGGAUGUUUUCGUUUUUACUUUUUUCAUGUGUCAGACCGUGUGCUAGGAAUGGGAGAUGGAAAAGUGACAAGGUAUUAACCAUUAAGGAGAAUAUAGUUUUAGCAGAAAGUUGACACUUACUCUCAGUCACAUUGUUAUCCAAAUCCCCACAAAAUGCACUUAGACUGCAAAUGUCUCAUUGACAUACUUAAAUAUUUAAUAGAUUAAAGGUAGAAGUUUUAAUUUAUGCAUUGGUUAUUCGUAAAGUCCUUAUAGAUCAAUUUCUUCUGCUUCAUAACUAUGGUUUCAGUACAGUGCACCACAGAUGAUUUUAAUAAACACAUUCUUCUAAUUUUCCAUUUCUGAGACUCACAGACCUGCUCGGCAAUUAAGGGGCAAUCGUCCAUUGAGUACAUUAAUGUUCAAUAACCGAAUCUAAGGCAGAUUUUUUGUUACCUACAUUCAUAAAUUAUUAGGUAUAUUGUUAAACAUUUCCUCUUCAAAACCACAUCAGAACACAAAUAUGUCACAGAUCCAUGUGUCUGGUUUAUUAAUUUAGGAAAUGUAACAUUUAGAAUCCACUAGCCAAAAAUAUCUAAAACAAAUAUAUUUACUAAAUAGUUUCAACAACAUUUUUAUCUGAAUGAAGCUCAUACAUCAGCUUCUCUCAAUGUAGCACCUAAAUAUCAAUUAAAAACACUAAAAAGUAUACAGGAAAGGGAAAAAUUUGCAUAUGUUAAUUUUGAUGUUCUAGGUAUAAAAUUCUGUGUUAACAAUCAAAUGCUGUAAUAAGUAUACUUGUACCUGAUAAUGAAGCAAAAUCACAUGCCCACAAAAUUGCAGAGCUUAAAUAAUGAAAGCAAAUGAAAUCCUGAAAUCCAAUGCAAACUAAAAAAUAAUUCAUAUUAUCUUAGUUUUUGAAACUCAGAAUAUUAUUCAAGACACUCCACCCUAUAUUUUUUGACAAUUUUAAUUUAUUCUUUUUUUAUCUUAUUUAAUUUACAUUUUUUUUAGCACUUACUGAAUUGUUUCUUUUUUUUUGUCUUUUUGUCUUUUUGCCUUUUCUAGGACCACUCCCACAGCAUAUAGAGAAGCGGCCCAAGAAAUGGCAAAAAGACAAAAAAAAUAAAAAAUAAAAAAAAAAGAAUAACUUUACCUAUUCAACAGGGAAAGGAGUUAAACUGGUCAAAAGCCUUUACAAUAAGUUUCAUUUUGCUAUGAAACUGUACUGCCGAAAGAUCCUGAAGUGCCGAUGAAUGGUUUUUCAUAGAGAUGUUUAAUUGAUAUAGACACUUAUUAUUCAGGUACUAUUUGACAUGGCACGAGUGUUACCAGAUGAUGUGGAGAGUUACACGGGGAAGAACUAGCAAUAAUAGACAUCAACAACCAUGUAAUGUUCUCUAACCACAAGCUAAUAUU